Long non-coding RNA from Syngnathoides biaculeatus (alligator pipefish), 7068 nucleotides. RefSeq lists it as uncharacterized. Lineage: Eukaryota; Metazoa; Chordata; Actinopteri; Syngnathiformes; Syngnathidae. The record is from RefSeq and is a predicted model, not a curated record. The transcript is spliced from 3 exons.
AGGAAGAACAGGAAAAGACGUUGGCAAUCGCAAACACAAGAAUAUGACAAAAAUGGCUACUGAAAUAGAAGUGAACUUUGAUGUACAAUACUGAGAGUAGGUCUUUUUGAAUAGAAUUUGAAUUGAAUUCAACCAAGACAUUUUUUUAAGUUGACAAGUCUCAUGGCACACCCCAAAAAGGUAAUGUUUCAAGAAAACUCUCCAAUUCGCUGAAACUUUUUCUGGAGUUGCUAGUAUGCACGCUCUUCAAAGCCUUGUGAAGAAGAGGGACGGAAGCCGGUACAAAAGUCCGCCUGAGAAAGAGGGGACCUCGCCUUAUCCUUCUGACGAUCCAUCUUGCGAACCUACGCUCUUGACCCAAAAAAAUGGAUGAACUUCAGCUUCUGAUUAAAACAAAAGGCGGUGGAAUAUACUUUUAAAUCAAUGAGAAAUGGUGCACGGACGUUACACACACACUGCAGCCCGCUUUUAGAGUCGCUGUUUUUGAACGGUAAGCAGUUUUAAUCACCACGUGAGUUCACAUCUUUCAUCCUAGUCUGUGUUUACAUUGCGCCUCAAGCUACCAUGAACGCAGUACUGUUAACGCUCGCUGAGCAGAUGAAUGAGAUUGAGAUAUCUUUCUCGCUUCUCAUACAGUGCAGAUGCUUUUAUCUUUGCUCUUGUUUUGUCUCUGACACUUUUUUUUUUUUUUUUGGACCAAAACAAAGCGGUCAGAGCAUAUAAUGCCAAUCCUAAAGUCCUUGCACUAGCUUCCAAUCAGCUUUAGAAAAGAUUUUAAAGUUCUGCUACUGGUCUAUAAAUCAUUCAAUGAUUUAGGUCCUGAAUGCAUUAAAGAAAUGCUUACAGAAGACAAACCCAGUAGAGCUCUGAGAUCGACUGACUCAGGUCAAAUAGUGGAGCGCAGAGUCCAAAGCAAACAUGGUGAACCAGCAUUGAGCUUUGCUGCACAAAAAUGGAAAAAGUUCCCAACAGAGGUAAAUGACUUGGAGCCCAAAUGUGAAUGUUUUUAAACCCAGGUUGAAAACUCUUCUUUUUUUAUCAUGCUUUUGAGAAUAUAUCCACUUUUUGAUCAUAUUACUUGCAUUGUAUACAGUUUUGUCUUUUUUUUAUAUUUUGUCCGUCAUUUUUAUUGUUUUUAUCCCGUUUAUGUUUUAUCUCUUUGUUUUCAAAUGCCUUUAAUCAUGUAAAGCACAUUGAGUUACCUUGUGUAUGAAAUGUGCUAUACAAAUAAAUUUGCUUUGCUUUGAGAAAAAACACCCAGAUUCAAUGCUCAUUAGCCGAGGAGAUUUUAACAGCUGAACUUAACCACAUCUUUUUUUUUUUUCCCCUUUUUAGCUUGUCCUGACUAGGGGUCGCCACAGCGUGUCAUCUUUUCCCAUCCAAGCCUAUCUUGUGCAUCAUCCUCUCGAAUACCCACUGUCCUCAUGUCCUCCCUCACAACAUCCAAUCUUUUCUUUGGUCUUCCUGUUGCUCUUUUGCCUGGGAGCUCCAUCCUCAGCCCCCUUCUACCAAUAUACUCACUCUCUUGCCUCCGAACAUGUUCAAACCAAUGUCUGCUCUCUCUAACCUUUUCUCCAAAACAUCCAACUUUGGCUGUCCCUCUAUUGAGCUCAUUUGUAAUCCUAUCCAACCUGUUCACACCAAGCAAGAACCUCAGCAUCUUCAUUUCUGCUACCUCCAGUUCUGCUUCCUGUUGCUUCUUCAGAGCCACCGUCUCUAAUCCGUACAUCAUGGCUGGCCUGUCAUGGGCUUUCUCUAGGUCUACGAAGAUACAAUGUCUCUCCUUCUGACCUCUGUACUUUUCCACGAGGAGCCUCAAGGCAAAUAGUGCAUCUGCGGUUCUCUUUCUAGGCAUGAAACCAUACUGUUGCUCGCAGAUACUUCUGUCCUUAGUCUCGCCUCCACUAGUCUUUCCCAUAAAUUCAUUGUGUGGCUCAUCAUCUUUACUCCUCUGUCAUUUCCACAGUUCUGAACAUCUCCUUUGUUCUUAAAAACGGGGACAAGCACACUUUUCCUUCAUUCUUCUGGCAUCUUGUCUCUCGCUAGUAUUCUAUUGAAUAAGUUGUUCAGAAACUCCACACCCACCUCAACAAAUUGCUUCCAUACCUCCACUUGUAUGUCAUCGAGACCAACAUUCAUGCUUGCCUCUUCUACACUACCUUCUCUCCCAUUUUCUUCAUUUGAGAAGUUAAUUCUCAAAGUACUCCAUCUACUUAGCACACUACUGGCACUAGUCAACAUAUUUCCAUCGCUAUGCUAAAUCACCUUUACUACAUGCUGCACAUCCUUCCCAUUUCUAUCCCUCUGUCUUGCCAACCUCCAGAGAUCCUUUUCUCCUUCUUUCGCAUCCAACGUGGAGUACAUGUCGUCAUAUGGCUCUUGUUUAGCCUUCGCCACCUCUACCUUUGCCCUACAACAGAUCUCAAUGUAUUCUUCCGCCUCUCCUCAGUCCUCUCCGUGUCCCACUUCUUCUUUAAUCUCUUUCCUUGUAUGACUUCCUGUAUUUUGGCGCUCCACCACCAAGUCUCCUUCUCCCCUUUCCUACCAGAAGACACCCCAAGUAUUCUCCUGCCUGCCUCUCUGAAUACCUUGGCAGUAGUAUUCCAGUCUUCUGGGAGCUCUUCCUGUCAAUCUAGAGCAGUGAUCUCCAACCUUUAUAGAGCCAAGGCACAUAUUUUACAAUUGGAAAAAUCCCACAGCACACCAACAAAAGUAAAUGUCACCAAAAAUGGAUCGAUUAAUUACUGUAUGUACUUCCUGCUAUCUCAUAGAAGAUGAUUUUUUUGUUCUGUCUCUCAUUGUGCCUCACUGGCAUAAAUAGAUGAAUAAAGAUACAUUAUUUCUUGGAAAAAAUGUUUUUUUUCAGCAAUUGCACAAAAUUGGAUAACUUCCCACGGCACCCCCGAAGAGCGCUCACGGCACACUAAUGUACCCCGGCACACUGUUUGGGAAUCACUGAUCUAGAGCCUGUCUCACCUCUUUCCGGAAGGCCACACAACAUUCUACCUUUCUCAAUUUACACCACUUGAUUCUCUGCUCUGCCUUUGUCUUCUUAUUCUUCUUACCUGCUGUCAGUCAUUCUACACACAACCAUCCAAAGCUAUUGCGCUACACUUUCCCCCACUACUACCUGACAGUCGGUAACCUUCAGAUUACACCGUCUGCACAAAAUAUAAUUCACCUGCGUGCUUCUACCUCGGCUCCUGUAGGUCAUUCUAUGUUCCUGUCUCUUCUGGAAAUAAGUGUUCACCAUUGCCAAUUCCAACUUGUUUGCGAAGUCCACCACAAUCUGCCCCUCAAAGUUCCUUUGCUGAAUGCCAUACAUACCCAUAACUUCUUCAUCGCCCUUGUUUCCUUUGCCAACACCUCCAUUGAAAUCUGCAGCAAUCACAACUCUCUCUCUCUCUCUCUCUCUCUCUCUCUCUCUCUCUGGGAUCCUCAGGACUACUUCAUCUAGUUCUUUCCACAAUUUCUCUCUCAACUCUAGGUCACAUCCUACCUGUGGGGCAUAGCCGCUAAUCACAUUAUACACAAUAACCUCAAUUUCAAAUUUCAGCCUCAUCAUUCGAUCUGCUCAUUUCACCUCCAAGACAUUCUUAGCCAGCUCUUUUAAAAUCACCCCGACUCCAUUUCUCUUCCCAUCUACUCCAUGAAAAAUAAUUUAAACCCUGCACCUAAACUUCCAGUCUUACUCCUUUUCCACUUGCUAUCUUGGAUGCGUAAUAUAUCAAACUUUCUCCGAAUCAUCAGCUGAACUAACUCCUGAGCUUUUCCUGUCAUAGUCCCAACAUUCAAAGUCCCUGCACACAGGUCUAACGUUUGUGCAUUCUUCUUCUUCCGACUAAGCCGCUUUCCUCCUCUUUUUUGUCUUUGACCUACAUUAUCUGAAUUUCUACCUAUGCCUUUUAGAUUAAAAUUUCCGGGUGCGGGUGUAGGAAGCCCGGGCCACGACCUAACUGUUAUAGAAUUUGUAUGAUGAACGCUCAUAUAUGUUUGGCACAGUUUUAAGCUGGAUUCCCUUCCUGACGCAACCGUCUGCAUUUAUCCGAGCUUGGGACCGGCCGACAGAUAGCACAAUAAUGUGCUGCCCAACGGGCUGCAGAUAGUCAAAAAGAAGAAGCAAUCAAAUCAACAAAGUCAGCACAUAAGAUAUACAAUUAAUGUCAAAUGCAAGUAAUCACAAACACAGUUAGCACAUACCUGUAAGGUACACAAAUCACAUACUACCUGUGUUAAAAAUAUAAAAAAUAUGGCGAUUUAAAGGACAUGUGGAUGGAGGGGAUUCAAACCACAAUGGCCCUCACUCUUGUAGUUGAAGGUUGAGUCCACGAUUGAUGUUUGGUCCUCGUUGUAUACGCUACGUAUGUAAUGUUAGCGCACUAGGCUAACUUGGGGCAUGCAUCUUCAACGCGAACGAUAUGGCACCAAUUUGGGUACUAAGAUGUACUAAGAUAAGAUUUCUUAAAUUUCCCAAGUCCUCACAGCCGUUGUCGUAGAAUUUAUGAAGUUACUCACGUUCGACGUUUCUUCAACAUCCACAAAUUGAUCACAAAUCCGUGUCUUUGUUAGCAAGCUAAGCUAAGGAAUACUAGGCCGAUAAGCACGUUUAGCAAGCUGAACUUUACCACGAAUUGCCUUUGCCUUGUUAUUUGCCCUUCUUGCACGUGAAAUGUGCAAGGAGGGCAAAUAACAGUCUAGACCAGGGGUGCCCAGACUUUUUUUUACCCCAAGAUCUAUUUCUCAAGCAUCCAACCUCCAGUGAUCGCCUGGGGGUGGGCUGUGCGGUGUUGAAAUGACCAAUGAUGAAAUAGAAUGACCAAGUCACAAAGAUCUACCCACUACAAAAACAAAAAACAUUUAUUUUAAAGUUCAUUGAGGAAUCUUUAUAUGUAAAUGUAUGUUUGUAUAACUUGCAUAACCACAUGAGCCAAUAUUACACAACAUAAUUAACUAAACAUUUUUUGUAACCAUCUGAGUGCACGCUAAUGAUCACAAAACACCAUACGAAUGAAAAUGCACACUUGGGCUGUGUCACUCAUGUUAGUGGAUUCGUCCAACUGCAAUGAGAAACACAAUGUGAGAUGUCCUUCCACAUAUCAGCCAUGGCUUCAUUGUGUAACUGUAUUCCUUGACAGCUGCAGAGAUUUUAUUGGAGAUAAUAUUUCCGCCUUAUUUUUAAAAGAUGACAACAACGAGUCAGUUAUGCCUCUUUUACUAUUUCUCCGUCUUGUAAGGACUUCUUGUUAUUAACGAUGAUGUGACGAACCCGGAAACGAUGGCGGCUUUCACUGUUGAACUACAACGUGACCGCUGUGUGGCCAACUGGGAUUUUAGUUGGUUCAGUUUUCUCAUUCUCAGCUUGCUUUUCGGUGGAAUGUAAGUGCCGUAUUUUCCAUAACCAGUUUGAAAAUGCCGCUCCACAUUUCACUUCACUUGCAGGUGAGGCAAAAGUACCUCAAAAAUGACAUUAUUAAAAAGUUGGCCGCCUCCCAUUCCGUAUGAAAGAGAUACGUUUUUGUCUUCUUUAGUGCAGCAUCCUCAUGUUUGUUAAGAUUUCUUAAGCGAGAGCUUAAAAAAGGCAUGAACUCACUGACAGUGUGUUUUCCUGUACUGUCGUCGUUUCCACAUGCGCGGUGAGCUAAAGUUAAAAAAAGACGGCUGAUGUCUUUUUUUUCCUCAGCACGCCAUCGCAAUCCGACGCAUUGAGCACCCCUGCUAUAGACCAUUGUUACACAUUCAUCAGAAACGCAUAAUGUGCAACCACCUGUGCACCCAUUGGCUCCUCUGAUCCAUGCUUGCUGUACUUAAGUGUAUGGAAGGUCCUCAAUACACCUUUUUGCUAAUUUUGUACAUUUUUUUAUGCAGAAUUCAAAUCUAAAAUCCGUUAUGAAGGAAACCUUUUUUUAUUUUUCGUUUGCGAUGUGCAUUGCUGGAUUCAGCGGAAAAAGCAGUAAACAGAGCAGAAAUAGCUGAGUAGGGGGCAUGACGUGACACAUUGCGCUCCACAUCAUGGCGCCCUUCAACAACAAUGCCAGAAUGAUGAUGGAUGUCCCGGUAAUUCAAGCAAUGAACAUGAAACUGAAGGGUCCCAAGAAGACAGUGAAGAAAACGAGCGUUAAAGGUUAUCAAUUUGAGCCAGUUACACAUCACACACCUUCAAAUGCAGACGAAAUAGCUGGCGAUGAAAGCGCAGAGCAGGGAGGAGGAUAUGCCUCGUGUUGGAAACAAAGACUGGAAGAACAGGACAAGGACAGGAGAAGAAGCAUGAAGACAAGGAUUAAGAACCCGGCUAUACAACUGGAAUGUGGUGGGACUGCAGAGGAUAUACAAUUGGCCGCAUCCAUCUCUGGGCCUCCCCUUGGGUUUCUCCCGAAGGAGAAGAUCCUCUUGAAAAGAUGGAGAUCCGACAUACAUUGAUGCAAAUGGCAUCCCAACGGCAUACGGGUGAGUAUAAAUUGGUUAAUGAGAUUGCUGCAGGAUGGGAAUCCAUCUUGUUAUGGAUAACUAUGAAUAAAAACGUUGACAGAAUCAACUACAUACAUUACAAUGUACAGAAACAAGGUAAUUAUACGCAAGCAGGCUUUAUUGCCAUAAGGGAACAACCAGCUGCAACCUCACUCAUGACGUUCCAGAACCGCAUAGCGGUCGACAUACUCCUGGCCGAGAAGGGUGGCGACUGCUCAAUGUUCGGUGACAAGCGUUUAUUCCAAAUAUCACAGAACCUGAUGGGUCACGCACAAGGGCCAUUCAAGGCUUCCGCACCCUGAACCAGAAGAUGAAGGAGCACUCUGGUGUAAAGACAUCAGCCAGGUCUGAGUGGUGGGAAAAAAGAAAAAGAAAAAAAAAAGUUUGGCAAAUCUAAAAAUUUGGUGUUCUCUGUCCUAGUUUCUAUCGCUGUUUGCAGCUAUUCUUGCAUUGUGUGGAUGUUUUUGUAUUCCCUGCAUAAAGGAAUCACUUAACCAACUUAUAACCACUGCUAUUGCCCCGACUCGAUGUGCAUAUAAGGCGCCAUGCCUAGUGUUGCGCCUUGUCUAUUUAGAAGAGAAUUUAAAACCUUUAGGAUUGUGA